This 494-nucleotide ribosomal RNA is filed under the name uncultured bacterium. RNAcentral's name for it is "partial 16S ribosomal RNA". It matches the Rfam family "Bacterial small subunit ribosomal RNA", at positions 28 to 507 of the family's 1533-position model. The record is from RNAcentral.
GACGAACGCUGGCGGCGUGCUUAACACAUGCAAGUCGAACGGUGAAGCGCCUUCCUUUUUGGUGGGUGUGGAUGAGUGGCGAACGGGUGAGUAACACGUGAGUAACCUGCCCCCUUCUUCUGGAUAACCGCAUGAACGUGUGGCUAAUACGGGAUAUUCUGGGUCUGUCGCAUGAUGGGUCUGGGAAAGAUAUUGUUUCGGUGGGGGAUGGGCUCGCGGCCUAUCAGCUUGUUGGUGGGGUGAUGGCCUACCAAGGCGGUGACGGGUAGCCGGCCUGAGAGGGUGGACGGUCACACUGGGACUGAGACACGGCCCAGACUCCUACGGGAGGCAGCAGUGGGGAAUAUUGCACAAUGGGCGCAAGCCUGAUGCAGCGACGCCGCGUGAGGGAUGGAGGCCUUCGGGUUGUGAACCUCUUUCGCCAGUGAAGCAGGCCUGCCUCGUUUGUGGGUGGGUUGACGGUAGCUGGAUAAGAAGCGCCGGCUAACUACGUG